This 155-nucleotide ribosomal RNA is filed under the name uncultured Bacillota bacterium. RNAcentral describes it as "uncultured Firmicutes bacterium partial 16S ribosomal RNA". It matches the Rfam family "Bacterial small subunit ribosomal RNA", at positions 367 to 514 of the family's 1533-position model. The record is from RNAcentral. Lineage: Bacteria; Bacillati; Bacillota.
CGCAAUGGACGAAAGUCUGACGGAGCAACGCCGCGUGAGUGAUGAAGGUUUUCGGAUCGUAAAACUCUGUUGUUAGGGAAGAACAAGUACCGGAGUAACUGCCGGUACCUUGACGGUACCUAACCAGAAAGCCACGGCUAACUACGUGCCAGCAG